Molecule: ribosomal RNA, 1429 nt
Filed under: Escherichia coli
Lineage: Bacteria; Pseudomonadati; Pseudomonadota; Gammaproteobacteria; Enterobacterales; Enterobacteriaceae
Description: partial 23S ribosomal RNA
Rfam family: Bacterial large subunit ribosomal RNA
Source: RNAcentral
GGGUUGUGAGGUUAAGCGACUAAGCGUACACGGUGGAUGCCCUGGCAGUCAGAGGCGAUGAAGGACGUGCUAAUCUGCGAUAAGCGUCGGUGAGGUGAUAUGAACCGUUAUAACCGGCGAUUUCCGAAUGGGGAAACCCAGUGUGUUUCGACACACUAUCAUUAACUGAAUCCAUAGGUUAAUGAGGCGAACCGGGGGAACUGAAACAUCUAAGUACCCCGAGGAAAAGAAAUCAACCGAGAUUCCCCCAGUAGCGGCGAGCGAACGGGGAGGAGCCCAGAGCCUGAAUCAGUGUGUGUGUUAGUGGAAGCGUCUGGAAAGGCGCGCGAUACAGGGUGACAGCCCCGUACACAAAAAUGCACAUAUUGUGAGCUCGAUGAGUAGGGCGGGACACGUGGUAUCCUGUCUGAAUAUGGGGGGACCAUCCUCCAAGGCUAAAUACUCCUGACUGACCGAUAGUGAACCAGUACCGUGAGGGAAAGGCGAAAAGAACCCCGGCGAGGGGAGUGAAAAAGAACCUGAAACCGUGUACGUACAAGCAGUGGGAGCCUCUUUAUGGGGUGACUGCGUACCUUUUGUAUAAUGGGUCAGCGACUUAUAUUCUGUAGCAAGGUUAACCGAAUAGGGGAGCCGAAGGGAAACCGAGUCUUAACUGGGCGUUAAGUUGCAGGGUAUAGACCCGAAACCCGGUGAUCUAGCCAUGGGCAGGUUGAAGGUUGGGUAACACUAACUGGAGGACCGAACCGACUAAUGUUGAAAAAUUAGCGGAUGACUUGUGGCUGGGGGUGAAAGGCCAAUCAAACCGGGAGAUAGCUGGUUCUCCCCGAAAGCUAUUUAGGUAGCGCCUCGUGAAUUCAUCUCCGGGGGUAGAGCACUGUUUCGGCAAGGGGGUCAUCCCGACUUACCAACCCGAUGCAAACUGCGAAUACCGGAGAAUGUUAUCACGGGAGACACACGGCGGGUGCUAACGUCCGUCGUGAAGAGGGAAACAACCCAGACCGCCAGCUAAGGUCCCAAAGUCAUGGUUAAGUGGGAAACGAUGUGGGAAGGCCCAGACAGCCAGGAUGUUGGCUUAGAAGCAGCCAUCAUUUAAAGAAAGCGUAAUAGCUCACUGGUCGAGUCGGCCUGCGCGGAAGAUGUAACGGGGCUAAACCAUGCACCGAAGCUGCGGCAGCGACACUAUGUGUUGUUGGGUAGGGGAGCGUUCUGUAAGCCUGUGAAGGUGGCCUGUGAGGGUUGCUGGAGGUAUCAGAAGUGCGAAUGCUGACAUAAGUAACGAUAAAGCGGGUGAAAAGCCCGCUCGCCGGAAGACCAAGGGUUCCUGUCCAACGUUAAUCGGGGCAGGGUGAGUCGACCCCUAAGGCGAGGCCGAAAGGCGUAGUCGAUGGGAAACAGGUUAAUAUUCCUGUACUUGGUGUUACUGCGAAGG